RNAcentral lists this ribosomal RNA (413 nucleotides) under uncultured Rhizophagus. RNAcentral's name for it is "partial 28S ribosomal RNA". The record is from RNAcentral. Lineage: Eukaryota; Fungi; Glomeromycota; Glomeromycetes; Glomerales; Glomeraceae.
GAGAGUUAAACAGUACGUGAAAUUGUUGAAAGGGAAACGAUUGAAGCCAGUCGUACCUUCGGGUAAUCAGCCUUUCGGGUGCGAUUAUGUGGAGUGUGAGGAGCUUAAACACCUUCAUGUUUUGCAUAUUCGUACUCUUGGGUGUACUUGCCCGUAUGGUUGGUUAACAUCAAUUUUGGUGGUCAUAAAAUGACUGGAGGAAUGUAGCUUCGAUCUCGUAUUGAAGUGUUAUAGCCUUCGGUAGAUGUGAUGAUCGAGAUUGAGGAUUGCAACGGAUACCCUUCGGGGCUACCUGUCUGAUCUCUGAUCGUUGCUCUGGUGCCGAAAGCUUGCUUACGGUUAUCAAAGUCGAUGGUCAAUAGGUUAGAACGGAUUAAAUUCGUUAAGGAUGUUGACGUAAUGACUUUAAACGA